GCCUUCGUGGUGUAACGGUAGCACACUCGGCGCGUAUUCGAGAGGUCCAGGUUCGAGUCCCGGCGACGGCA
RNAcentral lists this transfer RNA (71 nucleotides) under Stegodyphus mimosarum. It matches the Rfam family "tRNA". From Rfam's summary of the family: Transfer RNA (tRNA) molecules are approximately 80 nucleotides in length. Their secondary structure includes four short double-helical elements and three loops (D, anti-codon, and T loops). The record is from Rfam by way of RNAcentral. Lineage: Eukaryota; Metazoa; Arthropoda; Arachnida; Araneae; Eresidae.